RNAcentral lists this long non-coding RNA (264 nucleotides) under Pan troglodytes (chimpanzee). Its description in RNAcentral is "long non-coding RNA NONPTRT012009". The record is from RNAcentral. Lineage: Eukaryota; Metazoa; Chordata; Mammalia; Primates; Hominidae.
GGAGUAGCAGUAGAGUAUCAGAAGUAUCAGAAGCAAAAAAGUAAAUGUAUGAUUUGCAAAGCAUAACAAAAUGAAAAUAAGCUUCUGCAGUCAUGGAAGUUCAGAAUUGGAAAACAACUUAGAUUAUUUAUUCCAACCUCAUCGAAAAAGAGAUAAAGACAUGGAAUUCAGGAAAAGUGGUGAGGAAGCAAAUUCAGAAAUGUAUGACUAGGAAUAUGGAAGCAACUGAAUAUGAGGUAAUGCUGUUUUAAUUAGUACCAAAUG